This 429-nucleotide ribosomal RNA is filed under the name uncultured eukaryote. RNAcentral describes it as "bacterial SSU rRNA". It matches the Rfam family "Eukaryotic small subunit ribosomal RNA", at positions 592 to 1018 of the family's 1831-position model. The record is from RNAcentral.
CAGUAGCGUAUAUUAAAGUUGUUGCAGUUAAAAAGCUCGUAGUUGGAUUUCUGGUUUGACAAGAAUGAGGUCGCUCGCCGUUAGGCAUGUGGCCCAGUACUCGUCUGCCAUCCUUCUAGAAAGCACGCCUACCCUUCACUGGGCGGGGCGUGUGCUCUAGAUCUUUUACUUUGAAGAAAUUAGAGUGUUCAAAGCAGGCUUGCGCUAUGAAUACAUUAGCAUGGAAUAAUAACUUAGGACUUUGGUCUUAUUUUGUUGGUCUAUAGGACUAAAGUAAUGAUUGAUAGGGAUAGUUGGGGGUGCUAGUAUUCAGCGGCCAGAGGUGAAAUUCUUGGAUUCGCUGAAGACUAACUUAUGCGAAAGCAUUCGCCAAGGAUGUCUUCUUUAAUCAAGAACGAAAGUUGGGGAUCGAAGAUGAUUAGAUACCAU